CGAGUUAUCUGAACCUUCGGGGAACGAUAACGGCGUCGAGCGGCGGACGGGUGAGUAAUGCCUAGGAAAUUGCCCUGAUGUGGGGGAUAACCAUUGGAAACGAUGGCUAAUACCGCAUGAUGCCUACGGGCCAAAGAGGGGGACCUUCGGGCCUCUCGCGUCAGGAUAUGCCUAGGUGGGAUUAGCUAGUUGGUGAGGUAAGGGCUCACCAAGGCGACGAUCCCUAGCUGGUCUGAGAGGAUGAUCAGCCACACUGGAACUGAGACACGGUCCAGACUCCUACGGGAGGCAGCAGUGGGGAAUAUUGCACAAUGGGCGCAAGCCUGAUGCAGCCAUGCCGCGUGUGUGAAGAAGGCCUUCGGGUUGUAAAGCACUUUCAGUCGUGAGGAAGGUAGUGUAGUUAAUAGCUGCAUUAUUUGACGUUAGCGACAGAAGAAGCACCGGCUAACUCCGUGCCAGCAGCCGCGGUAAUACGGAGGGUGCGAGCGUUAAUCGGAAUUACUGGGCGUAAAGCGCAUGCAGGUGGUUUGUUAAGUCAGAUGUGAAAGCCCGGGGCUCAACCUCGGAAUAGCAUUUGAAACUGGCAGACUAGAGUACUGUAGAGGGGGGUAGAAUUUCAGGUGUAGCGGUGAAAUGCGUAGAGAUCUGAAGGAAUACCGGUGGCGAAGGCGGCCCCCUGGACAGAUACUGACACUCAGAUGCGAAAGCGUGGGGAGCAAACAGGAUUAGAUACCCUGGUAGUCCACGCCGUAAACGAUGUCUACUUGGAGGUUGUGGCCUUGAGCCGUGGCUUUCGGAGCUAACGCGUUAAGUAGACCGCCUGGGGAGUACGGUCGCAAGAUUAAAACUCAAAUGAAUUGACGGGGGCCCGCACAAGCGGUGGAGCAUGUGGUUUAAUUCGAUGCAACGCGAAGAACCUUACCUACUCUUGACAUCCAGAGAACUUUCCAGAGAUGGAUUGGUGCCUUCGGGAACUCUGAGACAGGUGCUGCAUGGCUGUCGUCAGCUCGUGUUGUGAAAUGUUGGGUUAAGUCCCGCAACGAGCGCAACCCUUAUCCUUGUUUGCCAGCGAGUAAUGUCGGGAACUCCAGGGAGACUGCCGGUGAUAAACCGGAGGAAGGUGGGGACGACGUCAAGUCAUCAUGGCCCUUACGAGUAGGGCUACACACGUGCUACAAUGGCGCAUACAGAGGGCGGCCAACUUGCGAAAGUGAGCGAAUCCCAAAAAGUGCGUCGUAGUCCGGAUUGGAGUCUGCAACUCGACUCCAUGAAGUCGGAAUCGCUAGUAAUC
Molecule: ribosomal RNA, 1291 nt
Filed under: Vibrio alginolyticus
Lineage: Bacteria; Pseudomonadati; Pseudomonadota; Gammaproteobacteria; Vibrionales; Vibrionaceae
Description: bacterial SSU rRNA
Rfam family: Bacterial small subunit ribosomal RNA
Source: RNAcentral